Long non-coding RNA from Macaca mulatta (Rhesus monkey), 5375 nucleotides. NCBI's taxonomy places the organism in Eukaryota, Metazoa, Chordata, Mammalia, Primates, Cercopithecidae. The record is from Ensembl.
AGGUUGUGUGUGUGUGUGUGUAUCCUGAGGUGUGUGAGGGUUGUGUGUGUGUGUGUCUUGAGGUGUGUGAGGGUUGCGUGUGUGUAUCCUGAGGUGUGUGAGGGUUGUGUGUGUGUGUCUUGAGGUGUGUGAGGGUUGUGUGUGUGUGUGUGUAUCCUGGGGUGUGUGAGGGUUGUGUGUGUGUGUGUCUUGAGGUGUGUGAGGGUUGCGUGUGUGUAUCCUGAGGUGUGUGAGGGUUUGUGUGUGUGUCUUGAGGUGUGUGAGGGUUGUGUGUGUGUGUCCUGAGGUGUGUGAGGGUUGUGUGUGUGUGUGUCUUGAGGUGUGUGAGGGUUGUGUGUGUGUAUCCUGAGGUGUGUGAGGGUUGUGUGUGUGUGUCUUGAGGUGUGUGAGGGUUGUGUGUGUGUGUGUCCUGAGGUGUGUGAGGGUUGUGUGUGUGUGUCUUGAGGUGUGUGAGGGUUGUGUGUGUGUAUCCUGAGGUGUGUGAGGGUUGUGUGUGUGUGUCUUGAGGUGUGUGAGGGUUGUGUGUGUGUGUGUGUGUCUUGAGGUGUGUGAGGGUUGUGUGUGUGUGUCUUGAGGUGUGUGAGGGUUGUGUGUGUGUGUGUCCUGAGGUGUGUGAGGGUUGUGUGUGUGUGUGUGUGUCCUGAGGUGUGUGAGGGUGUUGUGUGUGUGUGUCCUGAGGUGUGUGAGGGCUGUGUGUGUGUGUCCUGAGGUGUGUGAGGGUUGUGUGUGUGUGUCUUGAGGUGUGUGAGGGUGUUGUGUGUGUGUGUCCUGAGGUGUGUGAGGGUUGUGUGUGUGUGUGUGUCCUGAGGUGUGUGAGGGUGUUGUGUGUGUGUGUCCUGAGGUGUGUGAGGGUUGUGUGUGUGUGUCUUGAGGUGUGUGAGGGUGUUGCGUGUGUGUAUCCUGAGGUGUGUGAGGGUUGUGUGUGUGUGUGUCCUGAGGUGUGUGAGGGCUGUGUUCUUUUCUGUGCUCCUCUCAGGUACCUCAUGGUUUUUGUUCGUGGGGAGAGACGUGGCCGGCCCCGCUCCCCUCUCCGUGGGGCGGGCAGCUUCCAUCCCCAUCUUCACGGUGUCUCCAUGCUCCAGAGACUCCGUCAUCCCUGGGACACACAGGGCGUGUCUCUACCCUGGCCUCACAGCACCCUGAGAAGUUUGACCCAGCUGGAAGUUGUAACGUCCUCGAGUUUCUGGAAGCCUUUCUCAGUCAUCUCUACAGGUCUAAAUUCUCAGCUGUGAGUACUAAUUUGUGGCAUGAGGGUGAGGUGAAACAACAGAAGCCCAUGGCACAUCAUUGCAGAAUAUCCAUUAGACUUUCGCAAGUCACGAUCAUGGAUUUCAGGAUCUGACUCUUGUCAUCAUGGGAGACCUCAGAAUCUGACUGUUCAUCAUCACAGGAGACGUCAGGAUCUGACUGCUCGUCAUUACGGGAGACGUCAGGUACAGCUUAACAAUUAGCUAAGGGGUUCAUCUUACAGAUACCUCUAAUUACUGCUUUAGCUAAAAAAAAAAAAAAAAAAAAAAAAAAACCAAAAAAAAAAAACAACCAUGAAAGACACAGGUUUCCUGCAUCAUAUGAACCCAUAGUAAAUAUUUUGUGACCUGAUACUUAUGCAGUCAGAGCUCUGUUAGCCAAAACUAAAUAAUUGCCAGAAAAAUGAACACUAACAUUCAUAAUACUGUUCUGUAAACACUAUAAAAUCAUGGGACUUUUGAGUCAUCAGUGAAGGUAAAUACUUAACGCAACAUGUUUCUAUUCUGUUCCUUGUUAUUUUGUAUUUCACUAACUGUAAACUAAUCUACAACCUCCAGCGCCUAGCACUGUGCAGGCCGUUGCAAGACUUAAAGACGAGUAUGGCACGUGGUCCUGGGUGCCUGAGAAGUCAGGGCAUAGUGAGAGAGACGAAGAGACUGCACUAGGACAAUUAGCAUCUAGAUAUUAGUAGCAUAGUGCUGAGCAGAGUAUUUCACACAAGAGGGGACACCUUUCCAGGUCUUGAGCUGAGGCAGCUUUCUGUAGGAUCAGAGAGAGAGAAGGGAUAUUUCCAAAGGAAGGUGGUCAACCAAAGCCCAGGAGGAAGCAGUGGGUGCCUCCUCACCUGUGUUUCUGCACCUGUGCUUCCUCACCCGUGCCUCCUCACUUGCGUCUCCUCACCUGUGCCUCCUCACCUGUUCCUGCUCACCUGUGCCUCCUCACCUGUGCCUCCUCACCUGCACUUCCUCACCUGUGCCUCCUCACCUGUGCCUCCUCACCUGCACUUCCUCACCUGUGCCUCCUCACCUGCGCCUCCUCACCUGCACUUCCUCACCUGUGUCUCCUCACCUGUGCCUCCUCACCUGUGCUUCCUCACCUGAACUUCCUCACCUGCGCUUCCUUACCUGUGCUUCCUCACCUGUGAGGAGCUGUGCAAAGACUAUUUGGAUGGGAGAGGAGCUUUUCUUUAGGAUAUAAACCUAGAGGUAUAGCAUGGGUUGGAUGAUGGUCCUUUCAAAAUUCAGACACUCAACCUUGGACUUGACAUGAUCAUCAGUAGGAAUGUUUUUAAGUUUAGCAUGAUGAAAUUUGUAGAUUAUAUAAGAUGAUUCUGGCAGAAGCAUAUAAAUAAAUUGGAAGAGGAAGAGAGAGAAGCUGAGCCCAGUUGGGAAGCCAUUUAGUAACCCAGUCAUGAGGGAAGAAGAUUUAAGCUACCAAGUUUACAUAUUUAGUCCAUAAAAUGUGUGACAGGCAGAAUAAUGGCCCCCACAUUCUAAUCCCUGGAACUUGGAAAUAUGUCAGCUUACAAAGGGGACUGUGAGGUGAUGAAGUCAAGGAUCUCGAGAUGGAGAGGUUAUCCUGGAUGAUCUGGGCAGGCUCAAUGUCAUCACUAGGGAUCUUUACAUGAAGGAGGCCAGAGGGUCAGAGUCAGAGAGACGAUGUGACAAUGAAGGCAGGGAGGCCAGGCACAGUGGCUCAUGCUUGUCAUCCCAGCACUCUGGAAGGCCGAGGCAGGGGGAUCACUUGAGGCCAGGAGUUUGAGACCAGCCUGGCCAACAUGGCAAAACCCUAUCUUUACUAAAAAUGCAAAAAUUAGCCUGGUGUGGUGGUGCACUCCUAUAGUCCCAGCUACUUAGGAGGCGGGAGUGGGAGGAUCACUUGAGCCCAGGAGUCAGGGGUUGCAGUGAGCUGAGAUUGUGGCACUGGACUCUAGCCUAGGUGAGUGAGUGAGACCCUGUCUCAACAAAGAAAUAAGGAAGGAAGGAAGGAAGGAAGGAAAAGAGAUAAAAAGAAGAAAUAAAAAGAAAGAAAGAAAGAAGGAAAAAAGGAAGGAAGGAAGAAUGGGAAAGAAAGAAGGAAAGAGAAAGAGAAAGAAAGAAGAGAGAAAGAAAGGAAAACAGAAGGACAGAAAGAAAGAAAAAGAGAAAGAGAGAGAGAAAGAAAGAGAGGGUGCAGAGAGGUUUGAAGAGGCUCCACUCCUGCCUGAAGAGAGGAAGGGACCAGGAGCCGAGGAGCUCUCAGCCCCAGAAAGGGCAGGAAAGCAGAGCCCACUUCCAGCCUCUGGAGCGAACAAGCCUGCCAAGGCCUGAUCUGUAGCUCCACGAGACUCAGCCAGGAUUCUGACAUACAGAACUGUAAGAGAACAUGUGAUCGUUGUUUUAAGCCACUAAGUUUUGGUAAUUUGUUACAGAAGAAACUCUUUUUGAAUGUACAUUUCUAGGCCUUACCCACAUAAAUUCUGAUUCAAUAGUUCUGGGCUGAGAAUGUGAAUUUUUAACAAGUAUUUAAGUGGCUCUGACGAGGUGCCAAGAGUGACACUUCAGGAAAAUGUGACAGACAGUAAGCAACAGAAAUAUGAAGAAAGAGCCACCACUACCAACUCUACGCGGACACAAAUGGAGGUUCUGGAGAUCGAUGAGGCUCUGAUGAUGGAGGAGCACCUGGGCCAGGAUGGGUCUCACGUUUCCAGCCAGAGAGGAAGGAGGAGGCUGAGUGGCUGCACAGAGGAGAGGUCCACAGAGGGGAGAGUCCCCUCUUGGUUGCACUGGGUCUGCAGCAUGGCUGACCAGGUGCCCUAAUGCAGGAGGCAUCGGAAACUGUGGGCUCAAAGCUAAGCUACGAGCGGGAUACUGAAGAUCCGGAGUCAGAGCUUGCUGCACAAGUUUGAUAGUCGAGGGGAAGAAGUUAGAUCGGGUUAUUGGAGUUACAAGGAGAGAGGGACAGGGCAAGGAUUCCAGUACUGGAGAAUGUCUAGUUUACUGUAGCCAAGAUGCUGUAUUUUAGGGCAUAAUUUAAAAUGCUCCCUUGACUCCCCCACCCCAUGGAAGAUCUUAGGUGGAGGGGCCCUGCUGGCCCCGCAUGGGGUCCUCUGUGAGCACCAGCUCCUCUUCUCCGCUCUUUCCCUCUGUCAUACUGAAGCUCUCUAUUGUGGGAGUUGGCCGUAUUAGGGGCAGACCCUCCUCCCCUCGAUGUUACCUCUCUGCUAUCUGAGUAUCAAGUCAGAGUCUCCUUCUCCCUGAGCCUCCCAAACUGUGGGGACUUACGUACCAGUGUCGUUUCAGUUUUUGUAUGACUGUAGAUAUGUGAAAAUGAAUAUUUGAUUGAUAAAAUCUGAUUGCUUUUAAAAAUUGUCCUGACCUCCAAGCCCUGGGGCUCCUCCUGACCCCUGUGGGAACCCACCACUUAACUAUGCAAGGGCCUGACUCAUCGAGUGUCACAGCUUGGGGAAGAAACGCCAGCCAUGAGCCAGAGAAACAAAAAUGAGGGCCUGUCCCUAAAAUGCAGGAUCCAAGGGCCUCCAGCUGGAUGGAAAUCAGGCAACACCUCUCGGAAUCCAGGCUCACAGAAAGUCAGUUUCAAUUAGAAUUUUUUUUUUUUUGAGAUGGAGUCUCGCUCUGUCGCCCAGGCUGGAGUGCAGUGGUGCGAACUCGGCUCACUGCAAGCUCUGCCUCCCGGGUUCACGCCAUUCUCCUGCCUCAGCCUCCCAAGUAGCUGGGACUACAGGCGCCCACCACCUCGCCCGGCUAGUUUUUUGUAUUUUUAGUAGAGACGGGGUUUCACCGUGUUAGCCAGGAUGGUCUCGAUCUCCUGACCUUGUGAUCCGCCCACCUCGGCCUCCCAAAGUGCUGGGAUUACAGGCGUGAGCCACCGUGCCAGGCCUAGAAUUUAAAACAUCCCUCUUCAUGCCACAACUCUUCAGGCCACUGACAAGGUGACAGGGCCACACUUUGUACAGGAUACAAACAUAUUCCCCAUGGGUGGACAAAGUCACCCCAUAGCCCGUCUACACCAAGGAGCUGCACCUGUGCCCUGAGUAGCUGGAUGCAAUUUUGUAUUGUCGGAGAAUCUACUUUAAGUUGUUCUUCAGCAAAUUCUUCCAAAGUACUGUUUUCUUUCCUCAAUUCCUG